UUCAGAUCCUGUCCCUUUAUAAGCAAUGAACUAAUACAAUAUUUCAUAUGCAGCAGUUACGUCUCUGAAUUAAUACUUUGACUAUGGGGACUGUACACAUUUGGCAUUUCAUCUUUAUUGUUGUUUUAACUCAUCAAGGUAUCAGCGGUGAUGAGAUCAGAUUAGAUCAGUCUCCUGCGGUGGUAAAGAGACCUCAGGAAACAGUGAAGAUCUCCUGUAAAAUAUCUGGUUUUGACAUGACAAGCUUCUACAUGAGCUGGAUAAGGCAGAAACCUGGGAAAGCUCUGGAGUGGAUUGGAAGUGUUGACUCUGGUAGUGGUGAUGAAGUUACAUAUGCAGACUCAAUGAAAGAUCAUUUUAUUCUGAGUGAGGACGUUUCUGCAAGUACACAGUAUCUUGAAGCCAAGAGUCUGAGAGAAGAGGACACUGCUGUUUAUUACUGUGCUCGACAGUCACAGUGA
This is a non-coding RNA of Triplophysa dalaica, 461 nucleotides long. The record is from the annotation of a RefSeq genome assembly. Lineage: Eukaryota; Metazoa; Chordata; Actinopteri; Cypriniformes; Nemacheilidae.